RNAcentral lists this ribosomal RNA (865 nucleotides) under Thonalmus amabilis. RNAcentral describes it as "SSU rRNA". It matches the Rfam family "Eukaryotic small subunit ribosomal RNA", at positions 969 to 1793 of the family's 1831-position model. The record is from RNAcentral. Lineage: Eukaryota; Metazoa; Arthropoda; Insecta; Coleoptera; Lycidae.
UUCAUUGAUCAAGAACGAAAGUUAGAGGUUCGAAGGCGAUCAGAUACCGCCCUAGUNNANNCANAAACGAUGCCAGCUAGCGAUCCGCCGAAGUUCCUCCGAUGACUCGGCGGGCAGCUUCCGGGAAACCAAAGCUUUUGGGUUCCGGGGGAAGUAUGGUUGCAAAGCUGAAACUUAAAGGAAUUGACGGAAGGGCACCACCAGGAGUGGAGCCUGCGGCUUAAUUUGACUCAACACGGGAAACCUCACCAGGCCCGGACACCGGAAGGAUUGACAGAUUGAGAGCUCUUUCUUGAUUCGGUGGGUGGUGGUGCAUGGCCGUUCUUAGUUGGUGGAGCGAUUUGUCUGGUUAAUUCCGAUAACGAACGAGACUCUGGCCUGCUAACUAGGCGUAUUUCCGACAUCUCGAAGGCCCGCCGGCCUGGUGCGCUCGCGCGCCUAGUCGUGCGCGGUUUUUACUGUCGGCGUACAAACAAUUCUUCUUAGAGGGACAGGCGGCUUCUAGCCGCACGAGAUAGAGCAAUAACAGGUCUGUGAUGCCCUUAGAUGUUCUGGGCCGCACGCGCGCUACACUGAAGGAAUCAGCGUGUCCUCCCUGGCCGAGCGGCCCGGGUAACCCGCUGAACCUCCUUCGUGCUAGGGAUUGGGGCUUGCAAUUGUUCCCCAUGAACGAGGAAUUCCCAGUAAGCGCGAGUCAUAAGCUCGCGUUGAUUACGUCCCUGCCCUUUGUACACACCGCCCGUCGCUACUACCGAUUGAAUGAUUUAGUGAGGUCUUCGGACCGGCACGCGGUGGCGUUUCGACGUCGCCGAUGCUGCUGGAAAGAUGACCAAACUUGAUCAUUUAGAGGAAGUAAAAGGUCGUA